RNAcentral lists this long non-coding RNA (1718 nucleotides) under Solanum lycopersicum (tomato). RNAcentral describes it as "long non-coding RNA (SLYC_LNC000302)". The record is from RNAcentral. Lineage: Eukaryota; Viridiplantae; Streptophyta; Magnoliopsida; Solanales; Solanaceae.
UGCUGAAGCAGGCAAAAUUAGCAGGUGAGACAUCAAGGAUUACAGGCUAAAAACAAACUAAUAAACAUGAUGAUAAAUUUAUACACAUAAAUCAGUUAAGAAUCACACGGGGAAAAUUCACUUAAAUUACCAAAUUAGAUGAGACAAGAUUCUGCAAUAUGUUGUUACAACCUUAUACCUUGCAUAUGUGAUUGACAACUGACAAACCUAAAACUAUCAAAAGCAAGCCUAUUAUGCAGUGUCUUCACAAAGCGGAUAGAUUUUCAUGGAGUGGAAUUCCUCCUCCGUUCGGAUGUUCCCCGGUUUCUAUGAAGAUCAAAUUUGUUACUUGAUCUCCGGUGAGCAUAUUGAUUAUCGUUAAUCUCCACCCUCCUAGGAGAUCGAGAGGUUCUUUCGUUGGUUCUGUUGGAACUUCUUCCUGCUGAAGUCUUCCAUGAAUUUAUUGGAAGCUUUCUGUCCCCAUAUGUUGAUCGAGCAUCUAGCUCACUAUUAUUUUCUGCCCUCCAACACGAUCUUCUUGAUGGCCUUUCCACAUCUCUGUUUUGAUUUCUCCCCAAGGAUGUCCUCGGAGAGGUAGCUGAAGUAUUCCUAUCAUAAUCUCUAGUCCUCGGAGAGGUAGCUGAAGUAUUCCUAUCAUAAUCUCUAGUCCUCGGAGAGGUAGCUGAAGUAUUCCUAUCAUAACCUCUAGUCCUCGGUGAGGCAGCUGAAGUAGUCCUAUCAUAAUCUCUAGUCCUUGGAGAGGUAGCUAAAGUAUUCCUAUCAUAAUCUCUAGUCCUCGAAGAGGUAGCUGAAGUAUUCCUAUCAUAAUCUCUAGUCCUUGAGUAUAAUCUUCGGGUAGGCUUCCUAUCAUCAUCUCUUGUCAUUGAGUUUCUAUCAUCAACUCUUCUCCUCAAGUUUACUCUUUGGCUAUGCUUCUCAUCUCUACCCUCAUUGUCCGUCUCAUCAUCAUGGUAGUCAUUAUGCACAUCAUCAGAGUCCUCAUCAUAGUCUUCAUCUUCAUCUUCAUUAUCAACAUCAGUUUCCUUUCCAUCACCUUCUUUCAGAUCAUGACUACCUUUUAGCUGCACUUCUUUUGAUUUUUUAUCCUCCGUAACCUUGUUCAUGAGAUAAACAUACUUAGACCUCAGUUCUAUCAACGAGUUCUUCUGAAUUAACAUUCCCCUUUUAUAUCCCUCCUUCAGUACCACAGUAUGUGUGUCGAUCUUACUUGACACAUAGAAUAUCCCAGGAUGCAACAACAAUGCCCUCUUAAACCUAGAACGAAGUCCCAAAUACUCUCCUAUCAAAAGCAAAUUAUCUUUCUCCGCCUUCUUCCCAACACAAAGACUAAGAAUUUCAUGCAAAAUUAUCACUGCCCACUUAUCAGCUUCAUCACUCUUUGCAGGAAGAUUCUUUACAUUCUCAUAUGGCGAAAUAUAAGGCAAUUUUUUCCAUUCAUCAACCCAUUUCUUGUACUUCUUAUCCAUCUCAAACCCAUUUGAAUACUUCAAAUCAAACUUAACUAACAAAUCUUCACUUCCACAUUUCACUGCUUGUUUUUCCAAAGAGGAGACAGCAAGUUCAUGACUCCAACAAACUAAUUCCAACAUUGACUCAUUAUUCACCUGAAAAUAAUCCGGAUAUUCUGGUACUAUAGUUUCCACAAAAUUAUUACACAAGCCCAAAUCCCAUUUAAGCUUAUCAAUAACAUGUAAAGGAAUUUUAUUAGUUUUACCUAU